GUCACCAUGGGGUGUGGUCACUGUUGGGAAUGGUCACAGUGAGGUGUGGUCACCAUGGGGUGUGGUCACCAUGGGGUGUGGUCACUGCUGGGAAUGGUCACAGUGAGGUGUGGUCACCAUGGGGUGUGGUCACCAUGGGGUGUGGUCACUGUUGGGAAUGGUCACAGUGAGGUGUGGUCACAGUGAGGUGUGAACACCGUGAGGUGUGGUCACUGUGGGAAGCAGUCACAGUGAGGUGUGGUCACCAUGGGGUGUGGUCACCAUGGGGUGUGGUCACUGUUGGGAAUGGUCACAGUGAGGUGUGGUCACCAUGGGGUGUGGUCACCAUGGGGUGUGGUCACUGUUGGGAAUGGUCACAGUGAGGUGUGGUCACCAUGGGGUGUGGUCACCAUGGGGUGUGGUCACUGUUGGGAAUGGUCACAGUGAGGUGUGGUCACAGUGAGGUGUGAACACCGUGAGGUGUGGUCACUGUGGGAAGCAGUCACAGUGAGGUGUGGUCACCAUGGGGUGUGGUCACCAUGGGGUGUGGUCACUGUUGGGAAUGGUCACAGUGAGGUGUGGUCACCAUGGGGUGUGGUCACCAUGGGGUGUGGUCACUGUUGGGAAUGGUCACAGUGAGGUGUGGUCACCAUGGGGUGUGGUCACCAUGGGGUGUGGUCACUGUUGGGAAUGGUCACAGUGAGGUGUGGUCACCAUGGGGUGUGGUCACCAUGGGUUGUGGUCACUGUUGGGAAUGGUCACAGUGAGGUGUGGUCACCAUGGGGUGUGGUCACCAUGGGGUGUGGUCACUGUUGGGAAUGGUCACAGUGAGGUGUGGUCACCGUGAGGUGUGGUCACUGUGAGGAGCGGUCACAGUGAGGUGUGAACACCGUGAGGUGUGGUCACUGUGGGAAGCAGUCACAGUGAGGUGUGGUCACCAUGGGGUGUGGUCACCAUGGGGUGUGGUCACUGUUGGGAAUGGUCACAGUGAGGUGUGGUCACCAUGGGGUGUGGUCACCAUGGGGUGUGGUCACUGUUGGGAAUGGUCACAGUGAGGUGUGGUCACAGUGAGGUGUGAACACCGUGAGGUGUGGUCACUGUGGGAAGCAGUCACAGUGAGGUGUGGUCACCAUGGGGUGUGGUCACCAUGGGGUGUGGUCACUGUUGGGAAUGGUCACAGUGAGGUGUGGUCACCAUGGGGUGUGGUCACCAUGGGGUGUGGUCACUGUUGGGAAUGGUCACAGUGAGGUGUGGUCACCAUGGGGUGUGGUCACCAUGGGGUGUGGUCACUGUUGGGAAUGGUCACAGUGAGGUGUGGUCACCGUGGGGUGUGGUCACCGUGGGGUGUGGUCACUGUGGGGCUGUGUGAGAUUUCGAUUGGAAUUGAGCAAAAUUCUGAUUCGGAUUGAGAGAGACUCUGGGAGUGAUUGAGGUUGUGACUGGAAUUGUGAGAGAUUCCCUUUGGUUUUAUGUGGGAUUUCAACUGGGAGAUUCCAAUUGGGAUUGAGUGUGAUUCUGCUUGGGAUUGACUGAGAUUCCAUUUGGGAAUGGCUGAGAUUCUGUCUGGGAUUGAGAGAGAUUCUGAUUGGGAUUGAGAGAGAUUCUAAUUGGGGAUGAAUGAGAUUCUAUUUGGGAUUGUGUGAUUCCAAGUGAGAGUGACUAAGAUUCCAUUUGGGAUUGAGAUUCCAAUUAGGAUUGUAUGAGAUUCAAAUUAGGAUAUGGUGACAUUCUGACUGGGAUUGAGACUCCAGUUGGGAAUAACUGAGUCUCUGAUUAGGAGUGGCUGAGAUUGCAAUUGAGAUUGAGAGAGAUUCCCUUUAGGAUUGUGCAAGAUUCCCUUUGGGAGUGACUGAGAUUCGGAUUGGGAUUGAGUGACAUUCAAAUGAGUGUGACUGAGAUUCUGAUUGGGAUUGCGAGGGAUUUCCUUUGGCAUUGUGUGAGAUUCCGAUUGGGAUUUAGUGAGAUUUCAGUUGGGAUUGCAUGAGAUUUCCUUUGGGAUUGUGAGAGACUCUGAUUGGGAUUUAGUGAGAUUCCAACUGGGAGUGACUGAGAUUUUGUUUGCGGUUGAGUGAGGUUCUGAUGGGGGUUGACUGAGGUUCCCUUUGGGACUGAGAGAGAUUCAAAUUUAGUGUGACUGAGAUUCCGAUUGGAGGUGACUGGAAAUCUAAUUGGGAUUGUUUCAGAAUCAGAUUGGGAUUGUGCGAGACUCUGAUCGAGAGUAACUGAGAUUCCAAAUGGGAUUGGAUGAGGUGCCGAUUGGGAUUGAGAGAAAUUCUGAGUGGGGUUGAGUGAGAUUCCGAAUGGGAGUGACAGAAAUUUUGUUUGGGAUUGAGUGAAAUUCUGAUUGGGAUAGAGUGAGAUGCCCUUUGGGAUUGAAAGAGGUUCCAAUUGGGAGUGACUGAGAUUCCAUUUGUGAUUGCAUGAGAUUCCGGUUGGGAUAGAGUGAGAUUCCAAUUGGGAUUGAAUGAGAUUCCAAUUGGGAUUGAGUGAUUCUGUUUUGAAUUGAGAGGGAUUCUGAUUGUGAUUGUGCGAGGUUCCAACUGAAUGACUGAGACUCUGAUUGGGAUCAAGCAAGAUUCCGAUUGGGGUGUGAUUGAGAUUCCGAUUUGGAGUGAAUGAGAUUCGAAUUUGCAUUGAGUGAGAUUCCCUGUGGGAUUAUGUGAGAUUCUGAUUGGGGUUAUGAGAGAUUUUGAUUGUGAGUGACCGAGAUUGCGACUGGGAUUGAGUGAGAUUCCGAUGGAAUUGAGGGAGAUUCCCUUCUGGAUUGUGUGAAAAUCGGAUUGGGAGCAAUUGGGAUUCAUUUUGGGAUUGUGAGAUUCUGAUUGGGAUAGAGUGAGACUCCUAUUGGGAUUGCGUGAGAAUCUGAUUGUGAUUGAGAGUGUCUCCGAUUGGGAUUGAGUGAGAUACAGAUUGGGGUUGAGUGAGAUUCAGAUUGGGAUUGAGAGAGAUUUAGAUUGGGAUUGAGAGAGAUUCCGAUUGGGAUUGAGAGAGAUUCCGAUUGGGAUUGAGAAAGAUUCCGAUUGGGAUUGAGAGAGAUUCCGAUUAGGAUUCACCAAAAUUCCGAUUGCAAAUAAGCGAGACACAGAUUGGGAUCUUGUGAGAUUCUGAUUGCAAGUGACUGAGCAUCUGAUUGGGAUCGAGUCUGCCGGUUGGGAUUGAGAGAGCCUUGGGUUGGGAGUGACAGAUUCCAACAGGGAGCAAGUGGGACUCCAGUUUGGGUUGAGUGAGGCUCCUGCUGAGACGAACAUAGAUCACGCACAUGUGCUCUCACUUAGAGGGACACUGUAAUGCACCCACACUUGGGGGAGGGGGAUACACAGAAACAGGAAUGCACAGGUGAACACAGACAUGGUAACACGCGCAUAGGAACAUUCCCAUGGGAAUGUGGGCACACGGGAACACACACACGCACAGAUACAGGAUCCCAGACUCCCUUGCCUUCAUCCACAUGACCAACACUCCAAGCCCUGAUCGAGCACCCAUCCAG
Long non-coding RNA from Carcharodon carcharias (great white shark), 3466 nucleotides. RefSeq lists it as uncharacterized. NCBI's taxonomy places the organism in Eukaryota, Metazoa, Chordata, Chondrichthyes, Lamniformes, Lamnidae. The transcript has 3 exons. The record is from RefSeq and is a predicted model, not a curated record.